GUGCCCACUUCGGCAGCACAUAUACUAAAAUUGGAACGAUAUAGAGAAGAUUAGCAUGGCUCCUCACAAGGAUGACAUGCAAAUUCGGGAAGCAUUCCCUAUUUUU
Molecule: small nuclear RNA, 106 nt
Organism: Nannospalax galili (Upper Galilee mountains blind mole rat)
Lineage: Eukaryota; Metazoa; Chordata; Mammalia; Rodentia; Spalacidae
Source: Ensembl